Molecule: ribosomal RNA, 467 nt
Filed under: uncultured bacterium
Lineage: Bacteria
Description: bacterial SSU rRNA
Rfam family: Bacterial small subunit ribosomal RNA
Source: RNAcentral
GAUGAACGCUGGCGGCGUGCUUAACACAUGCAAGUCGAACGGGAAACCUUUUAUUGAAGCUUCGGCAGAUUUAACUGGUUUCUAGUGGCGGACGGGUGAGUAACGCGUGGGUAACCUGCCUUGUACAGGGGGAUAACAGUCAGAAAUGACUGCUAAUACCGCAUAAGCGCACAGGACCGCAUGGUCCGGUGUGAAAAACUCCGGUGGUAUAAGAUGGACCCGCGUUGGAUUAGCUUGUUGGUGGGGUAACGGCCCACCAAGGCGACGAUCCAUAGCCGGCCUGAGAGGGUGAACGGCCACAUUGGGACUGAGACACGGCCCAGACUCCUACGGGAGGCAGCAGUGGGGAAUAUUGCACAAUGGGGGAAACCCUGAUGCAGCGACGCCGCGUGAAGGAAGAAGUAUCUCGGUAUGUAAACUUCUAUCAGCAGGGAAGAAAAUGACGGUACCUGACUAAGAAGCCCCGG